RNAcentral lists this ribosomal RNA (843 nucleotides) under Ellisembia reblovae. RNAcentral's name for it is "partial large subunit ribosomal RNA". It matches the Rfam family "Eukaryotic large subunit ribosomal RNA", at positions 65 to 943 of the family's 3401-position model. Lineage: Eukaryota; Fungi; Ascomycota; Sordariomycetes; Sporidesmiaceae. The record is from RNAcentral.
CCAACAGGGAUUGCCCCAGUAACGGCGAGUGAAGCGGCAACAGCUCAAAUUUGAAAUCUGGCACCCGCCCGAGUUGUAAUUUGCAGAGGACGCUUCUGGCGCGGUGCCUUCCAAGUCCCCUGGAACGGGGCGCCGGAGAGGGUGAGAGCCCCGUACGGUCGGCCGCCAAGCCUGUGCGAAGCUCCUUCGACGAGUCGAGUAGUUUGGGAAUGCUGCUCUAAGCGGGAGGUAGACCCCUUCUAAAGCUAAAUACCGGCCGGAGACCGAUAGCGCACAAGUAGAGUGAUCGAAAGAUGAAAAGUCCUUUGGAAAGAGAGUUAAACAGCACGUGAAAUUGUUGAAAGGGAAGGAAUCGUACCCAGACGUGCGCCGGGGCGAUCAUCCGGCGUUCUCGCCGGUGCACUCGCCCCGGCGCAGGCCAGCGUCGGUUCGGGCGGGGGGACAAAGGCGCCUGGAACGUGGCCCCUCCGGGGGUGUUAUAGCCAGGCGCGCCAUGCUCCCGCCCGGACCGAGGUCCGCGCCCUGCAAGGACGCUGGCGUAAUGGGCACCAUUCACCCGUCUUGAAACACGGACCAAGGAGUCAAGGUCUUGCGCGAGUAUUUGGGUGCAAACCCGCAUGCGCAAUGAAAGUGAACGCAGGUGGGAGCUUCGGCGCACCACCGACCGAUCCUGAAGUUCUCGGAUGGAUUUGAGUAGGAGCGUGGGGCCUUGGACCCGAAAGAUGGUGAACUAUGCUUAGAUAGGGUGAAGCCAGAGGAAACUCUGGUGGAGGCUCGCAGCGGUUCUGACGUGCAAAUCGAUCGUCAAAUCUGAGCAUUGGGGCGAAAGACUAAUCGAACCAU